Molecule: ribosomal RNA, 465 nt
Filed under: Vreelandella stevensii
Lineage: Bacteria; Pseudomonadati; Pseudomonadota; Gammaproteobacteria; Oceanospirillales; Halomonadaceae
Description: partial 16S ribosomal RNA
Rfam family: Bacterial small subunit ribosomal RNA
Source: RNAcentral
CCUACGGGUGGCAGCAGUGGGGAAUAUUGGACAAUGGGCGAAAGCCUGAUCCAGCCAUGCCGCGUGUGUGAAGAAGGCCUUCGGGUUGUAAAGCACUUUCAGUGGGGAAGAAAGCCUUGGGGCUAAUACCCUCGAGGAAGGACAUCACCCACAGAAGAAGCACUGGCUAACUCCGUGCCAGCAGCCGCGGUAAUACGGAGGGGGCGAGCGUUAAUCGGAAUUACUGGGCGUAAAGCGCGCGUAGGCGGUCUGAUAAGCCGGUUGUGAAAGCCCCGGGCUCAACCUGGGAACGGCAUCCGGAACUGUCAGGCUAGAGUGCAGGAGAGGAAGGUAGAAUUCCCGGUGUAGCGGUGAAAUGCGUAGAGAUCGGGAGGAAUACCAGUGGCGAAGGCGGCCUUCUGGACUGACACUGACGCUGAGGUGCGAAAGCGUGGGUAGCAAACAGGAUUAGAUACCCUGGUAGUC